GAACUACUGAGGAGUCCCAUAAUAGGACGAAACGGCUGUACAGUGC
RNAcentral lists this non-coding RNA (46 nucleotides) under Schistosoma curassoni. The record is from RNAcentral. Lineage: Eukaryota; Metazoa; Platyhelminthes; Trematoda; Strigeidida; Schistosomatidae.